CGCUGUAGACCAGGGGGGAGGAGGGGGGUGGAUGUCGGCCUGGGCUCUGAACUGAUGCAUGAUGGGAGGUGGAGUGACACAGGAGAUGUAUGCUCCGACCUGAAGGAGAACCUAGGAGAAGGUCAGAGGAGAUCAGACAUUGGGCCUAAGACCUGCACACACAGGAAGUUCAUCAGUAAAACAUGAGGAGAAAACUGGAAAACCAAGCAGACAGAGAACCUGUCUAACCUCAGAGAACCUUCAGCAUUGUAGAAAAAGGCAGAAGGUUUGGUCCAUCUCUGCCUGCUGUCAAUCCCCCAUGCCCUCUACUGUGGUUAGCCACAAAACUUUCAGAUCAUCCAGAAGCUCUUAGCUGAAAGUACGUCAACACUUUAGACCCAUUGGACCUUUGAAAAUGUUGAAAAACUUCUUCCACUGUUAAGGUGUGUUCAGAAUAACUGCGAGUUGAGCAGUUUUUUCGCCUCAUUUGCGUGCUGUCGCCCGCCUGACAUUUCGCCAGCACUUGGCGUGUCUAAUGGACGACAACGCUCCACUCGCUCCAUCACAUCAUCAAAUAGGAGGAGCUUCUAUGUGCUGCUUGUCGGUUUAAACUCAACAUGGAGCGAGUCACAAUACUUUAUUUAUGGAAAGCCGUUCACCAGAGACGGAACCAGUUUGGACAGUACCACCACCUACUCCAGGAGCAGCGGUACGUCUGUCUAUACGGGACCCAGUUUGAGGACCUGCUGUCCCACGUUGGGGGACGAAUCAGCCUCCGGGGUACCAACUACAGGCGCUGUAUCCCCACUGCAGAGCACCUGUUCAGCCACAUCUAACUGUCCACAUCUCCUAAAUAUAAUAAACAUUUUUGUGCCUAAACAUUUUACGACGAGGACCAGCAAAAUGCACCAGGCAAGAUCUGAUGUGACAACAGAAUGUAGCAUGGCAGCCAUAAGUAUUGAAUAAAUAUGUAAUAACGGCUGAUCGGCCACCUAGAAAUCAGGCUUGCUGACAGAUGCAUCUGAAAGUGAAAUACUUUCCUACAUGAACAUAGAUCUACCCUGAGAAACUGCUGGGAGUUUCAUACCUGACAACUGGGCUUGUAUGACAACGUUUGUGCUAUAGACGCAAUGCGAAUAAAUAGAAAAGUUCAGUGUU
Girardinichthys multiradiatus is the source of this 1137-nucleotide long non-coding RNA. RefSeq lists it as uncharacterized. The transcript has 2 exons. NCBI's taxonomy places the organism in Eukaryota, Metazoa, Chordata, Actinopteri, Cyprinodontiformes, Goodeidae. The record is from RefSeq and is a predicted model, not a curated record.